Alligator mississippiensis (American alligator) is the source of this 330-nucleotide long non-coding RNA. RefSeq lists it as uncharacterized. Lineage: Eukaryota; Metazoa; Chordata; Crocodylia; Alligatoridae. The record is from RefSeq and is a predicted model, not a curated record. The transcript is spliced from 3 exons.
UGAGACAGGUGGUAACACCCAGCCCAGGGAUCCCCAGGGUGCAGGUCUAGGAGCCCUGCCCGGCCCCAGGGCUCUGGGGGCCGCCAGCCCUGCACCCGGGGGAGAUGGGGAAUUCGCUGCCCAAGGGAGUCCAUCGCCCCAGCUGCUCUUUCCUUCCCCAGCAGGACAAACCCCUCACCGGGCACCGCCGGCAGCAGCUGGAGCUGACGGCGCUCAGGGCCCAGCUGGCCCAACAGGAGCGGGACACGGCGGUCCUCCUGUCCCGUGCUCGGCAAAGGGAGGAGCUGCUCCUGGUGAGUUUGCAGGGGGCAGAGGGCGGCAGGGCCGUGG